CCUUCGUCUUGUCUAGAUUCUGC
RNAcentral lists this non-coding RNA (23 nucleotides) under Arabidopsis thaliana (thale cress). The record is from RNAcentral. Lineage: Eukaryota; Viridiplantae; Streptophyta; Magnoliopsida; Brassicales; Brassicaceae.